AGCGAGGUCCUCGGCCUCGUCCUCGCCGGGGGGGGGAGCCGUCACCGUGAUGGUGAUGCCACCGGCGGCGCCCGUGUCCUCGUCCCCGACGUCCUCGUCCCCGAUGUCCCCGUCCCCCUUGUCCCCAAUGUCCUUGCUUCUGUCCCCAAAGUCCUUGUCUCCUACAUCCUUGUCCCUUAGGGUGGUGACAUCCCUGUCCCCAAGGUCCCUUAGGACUGGGACACCCUUGUCCCUGAUGUCCCCAGGGGCUGGGAUGUCCCUGUCCCCGAUGUCCUUGUCCCCAGCAGCUGGGAUGUCCCCAACGUCCCUUAGGGUUGCGAGGAUCCCGGUGUCCUUGUCCCCAACAGCCCUCGGGGCAGUGACGUCCCCGUCCCCAACUCCCUUGUCCCCAAUGUCCCUUAGGGCCAGGACAUCCUUGUCCCCGAUGUCCCCAAGGUCUGGGACACCCUCAUCCCUGGUGUCCCUGUCCCCAAUGUCCUCAGAGGUUGGGACAUCCCUGUCCCCGAUGUCCCCAAGGUCUGGGACACCCUCGUCCCUGGUGUCCCUGUCCUUAACGUCCCUUAGAGCCAGGACACCCCUGUCCCCACUGUCCUUGUCCCCAACAGCCCUCAGGAUGGUGACAUCCCUGUCCCCCACGUCCCCAAUGUCUCCAGGGAUUGGGACAUCCCGGWCCUCACUGUCCUUGUCCCCCAUGUCACUUAGAGCCGGGACAUCCUUGUCCCCAAUGUCCUUGUCCUCAGUGUCCCUCAGAGAUAGGAUGUCCUUGUCCCUCAUGUCCUUGUCCCCAGUGUCCCUCAGGGUGGUGACACCCCUGUCUUUGAUGUCCUUGUCCCCAACARCCCUCAGGACAGUGACASCCCUGUCCCUGAUGUCCCCAAUGUCCCCAGGAGCAGGGACAUCCCYGUCCCCAAUGUCCCUUAGGGCAGUGACGUCCCUGUCCCCGAUGUCCUUGUCCUUGAAGGUUGUGACGUUCCCGCCCUCGACGUCCCUUGGGGUUGGGACACCCUUGACCCCAACAUCCUUGUCCGGGAUGUCGCGGUCCCCAAUGUCCCUUAGGGCCGUGACAUCCUUGUCCCUCACGUCCUUCGGGCCUGGGACGUCUCCGUCCCCAACGUCCUUUAGGCUUGGGACAUCUCCGACCCCAGUGUCCUUGUCCCCAGGAGCUGGGACAUCCCCAUCUCCAAUGUCCCUUGGGCUGGGGACAUCCCUGUCCCCGAUGUCCCUUGGGCUGGGGACAUCCCUGUCCCCGAUGUCCUUGUCCCUGGGA
This 1267-nucleotide long non-coding RNA is filed under the name Apteryx rowi (Okarito brown kiwi). RNAcentral's name for it is "lncRNA (ENSARWG00000017862.1)". The record is from RNAcentral. Lineage: Eukaryota; Metazoa; Chordata; Aves; Apterygiformes; Apterygidae.